GACGAACGCUGGCGGCGUGCUUAACACAUGCAAGUCGAACGAUGAACCCGGAGCUUGCUCUGGGGGAUUAGUGGCGAACGGGUGAGUAACACGUGAGUAACCUGCCCUGGACUCUGGGAUAAGCGUUGGAAACGACGUCUAAUACCGGAUAGGACCUUGGAUCGCAUGAUCUGGGGUGGAAAGUUUUUUCGGUCUGGGAUGGACUCGCGGCCUAUCAGCUUGUUGGUGAGGUAAUGGCUCACCAAGGCGUCGACGGGUAGCCGGCCUGAGAGGGUGACCGGCCACAGGGGGACGGACACCGGGCCCGGACCCCUCGGGGGGGCAGCAGGGGGGAAUAGUGCAAAAGGGGGAAAGGCUGGAUGAAGAAACGCGGCGGGGGGGGUGACGGCCUUGGGUUUGAAACCCGCUUUUAGUAGGAAAGAAGGGCUGGGGCUUGAGGGUCCCUGAAAAAAAAGGCCCGGCUAACUACGUG
Molecule: ribosomal RNA, 472 nt
Filed under: uncultured bacterium
Lineage: Bacteria
Description: partial 16S ribosomal RNA
Rfam family: Bacterial small subunit ribosomal RNA
Source: RNAcentral